CAAUAGCGUAUAUUAAAGUUGUUGCAGUUAAAAAGCUCGUAGUUGGAUUUGUGGCGUACGGUGUGUUCCGGGCACUUGUUGUCUGAGUAACCUGCUGUUGCCAUCCUUGGGUGGAACCUGUGUGGCAUUAGGUUGUCGUGCAGGGGAUGCCCAUCAUUUACUGUGAAAAAAUUAGAGUGUUCAAAGCAGGCUUAUGCCGUUGAAUAUAUUAGCAUGGAAUAAUGAGAUAGGACUUUUUUGCUAUUUUGUUGGUUUGCGCAAAGAGGCAAUGAUUAAUAGGGACAGUUGGGGGUAUUCGUAUUCCAUAGUCAGAGGUGAAAUUCUUGGAUUUUUGGAAGACGAACUACUGCGAAAGCAUUUACCAAGGAUGUUUUCAUUAA
RNAcentral lists this ribosomal RNA (380 nucleotides) under uncultured eukaryote. RNAcentral describes it as "partial 18S ribosomal RNA". It matches the Rfam family "Eukaryotic small subunit ribosomal RNA", at positions 592 to 976 of the family's 1831-position model. The record is from RNAcentral.